RNAcentral lists this ribosomal RNA (430 nucleotides) under uncultured bacterium. Its description in RNAcentral is "bacterial SSU rRNA". It matches the Rfam family "Bacterial small subunit ribosomal RNA", at positions 62 to 507 of the family's 1533-position model. The record is from RNAcentral.
UCUACGUAACCUUCCGGAGGUCUACAAGAGUACGGAGCUACUAAAAUUAAUAGUGGCGGACGGGUGAGUAACACGUUGGAACCUCGCCCGAAGAGGGAUACUACCGAAGGUGGCUAAUACCCAUAUACUCCGAUUUAUUCGGAGGAAAGCUUUCGCGCUUCGGGAGGGGCCUGCGCAACAUUAGCUAGUUGGUGAGGUAAAAGCUCACCAAGGCGACGAUGUUUAGCUGGUUUUGAGAGGAUGAUCAGCCACACUGGGACUGAGACACGGCCCAGACUCCUACGGGAGGCAGCAGUAAGGAAUAUUCCACAAUGGGGGAAACCCUGAUGGAGCAAUACCGCGUGCAGGAAGACGCUUUUCGGAGUGUAAACUGCUUUUAUCUACCAAGAUUAUGACGGUAGUAGAUGAAUAAGGACCGGCUAACUACGUG